This 486-nucleotide ribosomal RNA is filed under the name uncultured bacterium. RNAcentral describes it as "partial 16S ribosomal RNA". It matches the Rfam family "Bacterial small subunit ribosomal RNA", at positions 30 to 507 of the family's 1533-position model. The record is from RNAcentral.
AUUGAACGCUGGCGGCAUGCCUUACACAUGCAAGUCGAACGGCAGCACGGGUGCUUGCCCCUGGUGGCGAGUGGCGAACGGGUGAGUAAUACAUCGGAACAUGUCCUGUAGUGGGGGAUAGCCCGGCGAAAGCCGGAUUAAUACCGCAUACGAUCUACGGAUGAAAGCGGGGGACCUUCGGGCCUCGCGCUAUAGGGUUGGCCGAUGGCUGAUUAGCUAGUUGGUGGGGUAAAGGCCUACCAAGGCGACGAUCAGUAGCUGGUCUGAGAGGACGACCAGCCACACUGGGACUGAGACACGGCCCAGACUCCUACGGGAGGCAGCAGUGGGGAAUUUUGAACAAUGGGCGAAAGCCUGAUCCAGCAAUGCCGCGUGUGUGAAGAAGGCCUUCGGGUUGUAAAGCACUUUUGUCCGGAAAGAAAUCCUUGGCCCUAAUACGGUCGGGGGAUGACGGUACCGGAAGAAUAAGCACCGGCUAACUACGUG